RNAcentral lists this ribosomal RNA (2416 nucleotides) under human gut metagenome. RNAcentral describes it as "bacterial LSU rRNA". It matches the Rfam family "Bacterial large subunit ribosomal RNA", at positions 466 to 2925 of the family's 2925-position model. The record is from RNAcentral.
CUAAAUACUACCCAGUGACCGAUAGCGUAUAGUACUGUGAAGGAAAGGUGAAAAGGACCCCGGGAGGGGAGUGAAAGAGAACCUGAAACCCUGUGUUUACAAGCUGUCGGAGCACGAUAAGUGCGACGGCGUACUUUUUGUAGAACGGUCCGGCGAGUUAUGAUACGCGGUAAGGUUAAGGACUUAAGGUCCGGAGCCGAAGCGAAAGCGAGUGUUAAGAGCACGAGGAAUCACGUAUCAUAGACCCGAAACCGGGUGAUCUAUCCAUGUCCAGGAUGAAGCUGCCGUAAGAGGUAGUGGAGGUCCGAACACACAUCCGUUGAAAAGGGUGGUGAUGAGGUGUGGAUAGGGGAGAAAUUCCAAUCGAACCCGGAGAUAGCUGGUUCUCCUCGAAAUAGCUUUAGGGCUAGCCUCGAUGGAGUCUUACGGAGGUAGAGCACUGAAUUUCUAAGGGGGCGUCAAAGCUUACCAAGGGAUAUCAAACUCCGAAUGCCGUAAAGAUGCUCAUCGGGAGUCAGACUGCACGAGAUAAGUUGGGCAGUCAAAAGGGAAAGAGCCCAGACCUGCUGCUAAGGUCCCAAAGUACGUGUUAAGUGGAAAAGGAUGUGGGAUUUCGAAGACAACUAGGAUGUUGGCUCAGAAGCAGCCACACAUUCAAAGAGUGCGUAAUAGCUCACUAGUCGAGAGGUCCUGCGCCGAAAAUGUCCGGGGCUGAAACACGACACCGAAGCUUAGGAACAGAAAUGUUGGUAGAGGAGCAUUGUUAGCGGAACGAAGCCAUACCGGAAGGAGUGGUGGACUGCUAAGAAGAGAGAAUGCCGGAAUGAGUAGCGAGAUUGAAGUGAGAAUCUUCAAGGCCGAAUAUCUAAGGUUUCCAGGGUAAAGCUGAUCUGCCCUGGGUAAGUCGGGGCCUAAGGCGAGGUCGAAAGACGUAGCCGAUGGACAACAGGUUGAAAUUCCUGUACUGCGAUAUAUCAGAAAUGUGGGGACACAGAAGGAAAGUGUGAGCCGGGAAAGGAAAGACCGGUGCAAGCACAGGAGGAGAGAUACAGGCAAAUCCGUAUUUCAAUCCAAUGGUGUUACGCGGAGCGAACAAAAGUAGCGAAGCACACAGACCAUCUGUCGAGAAAAGCCGCUAUUGUGUAUACCGUACCCGUACCGUAAACCGACACAGGUGGAUGAGGAGAGAAUCCUAAGGCCGGCGGAAGAAGCAUUGUUAAGGAACUCGGCAAAAUGACCCCGUAACUUCGGGAGAAGGGGUGCCAACGAGAGUUGGCCGCAGAGAAUAGGCUCAAGCAACUGUUUAGCAAAAACACAGGUCUAUGCAAAACCGAAAGGUGAGGUAUAUGGGCUGACGCCUGCCCGGUGCUGGAAGGUUAAGAGGAGAGGUUAGCGCAAGCGAAGCUUUGAAUUUAAGCCCCAGUAAACGGCGGCCGUAACUAUAACGGUCCUAAGGUAGCGAAAUUCCUUGUCGGGUAAGUUCCGACCCGCACGAAAGGCGUAAUGAUUUGGGCACUGUCUCGACAAUGCACCCGGUGAAAUUGAAAUACCAGUGAAGAUGCUGGUUACCUGCGCCAGGACGGAAAGACCCCAUGGAGCUUUACUCUAGCUUGAUACUGGGAUUCGGUAUUGCAUGUACAGGAUAGGUGGGAGACUAAGAGGUGAUGACGCCAGUUGUCACGGAGUCGAUGUUGGGAUACCACCCCUGCAGUACUGGGUUUCUAACCUGCGGCCGUGACCCGGCCGGGGGACAAUGUCUGGUGGGGAGUUUGACUGGGGCGGUCGCCUCCGAAAGGGUAUCGGAGGCGCUCAAAGGUUCCCUCAGAAUGGUCGGAAACCAUUCGAAGAGUGCAAAGGCAGAAGGGAGCUUGACUGCGACACCGACGGGUGGAGCAGGUACGAAAGUAGGACUUAGUGAUCCGGUGGUAUGAAAGUGGGAUUGCCAUCGCUCAACGGAUAAAAGCUACCCUGGGGAUAACAGGCUUAUCACUCCCAAGAGUUCACAUCGACGGAGUGGUUUGGCACCUCGAUGUCGGCUCAUCGCAUCCUGGGGCUGUAGUAGGUCCCAAGGGUUGGGCUGUUCGCCCAUUAAAGCGGUACGCGAGCUGGGUUCAGAACGUCGUGAGACAGUUCGGUCCCUAUCCUCCGUGGGCGCAGGAGAAUCGAUGGAGGCUGCCCCCAGUACGAGAGGACCGGGGUGGACGCACCUCCGGUGAACCGGUUGUCGACCAACGGCACGGCCGGGUAGCCGCGUGCGGCGCGGAUAACCGCUGAAGGCAUCUAAGCGGGAAGCCGUUCCAGGGAUUAGUUCUCCUUCCGGUAAGGGCCCAGGUAGACUACCUGGUCGAUAGACGGCAGGUGCAAGGGCGGCGACGUCCUCAGCCGAGCCGCACUAAUCGCCCGAGCUCUUCCGGAA